This is a long non-coding RNA of Oncorhynchus keta (chum salmon), 474 nucleotides long. RefSeq lists it as uncharacterized. Lineage: Eukaryota; Metazoa; Chordata; Actinopteri; Salmoniformes; Salmonidae. The transcript is spliced from 5 exons. The record is from RefSeq and is a predicted model, not a curated record.
GACCUGACAUGAUAAUACUACAGGUACCACACCAAGCAGUACAGACCUGACAUGAUAAUACUACAGGUACCACACCAAGCAGUACAGACCUGACAUGAUGAUACUACAGGUACCACACCAAGCAGUACAGACCUGACAUGAUGAUACUACAGGUACCACACCAAGCAGUACAGACCUGACAUGAUGAUACUACAGGUACCACACCAAGCAGUACAGACCUGACAUGGUGAUACUACAGGUACCACACCAAGCAGUACAGACCUGACAUGGUGAUACUACAGGUACCACACCAAGCAGUACAGACCUGACAUGAUGAUACUACAGGUACCACACCAAGCAGUACAGACCUGACAUGAUGAUACUACAGGUACCACACCAAGCAGUACAGACCUGACAUGAUAAUACUACAGGUACCACACCAAGCAGUACAGACCUGACAUGAUGAUACUACAGGUACCACACCAAGCAGUACAG